UUCAAAGGCACGUGCCUCUCUUGGCAUCUUCUCUUUGAUAACCAAGCUACUGCUACUCAAACAUACAACAAUUUUCAAAAUUUACAGAAACCAGGGGGAAAAAAUAAAUUUACAUACACUAAAAAGGUGAAAAACUACUGUCAAGUUAGGUGCACGUCUCAUAUUCAUCUAAAAUAACAUGUCUACUGCUUUCCAGACCCAACAGAUUGCCAUCAGAAAAUAAUGCUUAGAUUGACAUGUGAAAGCAUUGUUGUUCAAAAUGAUAAAAUCUUUGAAGAAGCAAACUAGUAUCUGUAAAAGAUGCAGGUAAGGAUUUUAUUGUAGUCACUCAUGAGACAUUUAAAAUUUACAAUGUCAUUCCACAUCAAUUCACACCUAUAAAAAAGAAUGCUAUCUAAACUGUGUACCAGCUAAGUGGCUUCUCUUUCUA
This 430-nucleotide unclassified non-coding RNA is filed under the name Hevea brasiliensis (rubber tree). Lineage: Eukaryota; Viridiplantae; Streptophyta; Magnoliopsida; Malpighiales; Euphorbiaceae. The record is from RNAcentral.